CUUGAGGGAGCCGAGCCACAGAGGACGGUCUUCGGGCCGGUCCUGGCCGUACGUGGCGAUCAGCGCCUGGGCCUC
This 75-nucleotide antisense RNA is filed under the name Micromonospora zamorensis. RNAcentral describes it as "ASpks TB sRNA". It matches the Rfam family "ASpks TB sRNA". Lineage: Bacteria; Bacillati; Actinomycetota; Actinomycetes; Micromonosporales; Micromonosporaceae. The record is from RNAcentral.